GACGAACGCUGGCGGCGUGCUUAACACAUGCAAGUCGAACGGAAAGGCCCUGCUUUUGUGGGGUGCUCGAGUGGCGAACGGGUGAGUAACACGUGAGUAACCUGCCCUUGACUUUGGGAUAACUUCAGGAAACUGGGGCUAAUACCGGAUAGGAGCUCCUGCUGCAUGGUGGGGGUUGGAAAGUUUCGGCGGUUGGGGAUGGACUCGCGGCUUAUCAGCUUGUUGGUGGGGUAGUGGCUUACCAAGGCUUUGACGGGUAGCCGGCCUGAGAGGGUGACCGGCGACAUUGGGACUAAGAUACGGCGCAGACUCGUACGGGAGGCAGCAGUGGGGAAUAUUGCACAGUGGGCGGAAGCCUGAUGCAGCAACGCCGCGUGCGGGAUGACGGCCUUCGGGUUGUAAACCGCUUUCGCCUGUGACGAAGCGUGAGUGACGGUAAUGGGUAAAGAAGCACCGGCUAACUACGUG
Molecule: ribosomal RNA, 468 nt
Filed under: uncultured bacterium
Lineage: Bacteria
Description: partial 16S ribosomal RNA
Rfam family: Bacterial small subunit ribosomal RNA
Source: RNAcentral